This 317-nucleotide small nuclear RNA is filed under the name Erinaceus europaeus (western European hedgehog). Its description in RNAcentral is "7SK RNA". It matches the Rfam family "7SK RNA". Rfam says of the family: 7SK was discovered as an abundant small nuclear RNA in the mid-70s but a possible function has only recently been suggested. Two independent studies have found that 7SK RNA binds the CDK9/cyclin T complex (known as elongation factor P-TEFb). P-TEFb activates transcription by phosphorylating the C-terminal domain of RNA polymerase II. The record is from Rfam by way of RNAcentral. Lineage: Eukaryota; Metazoa; Chordata; Mammalia; Eulipotyphla; Erinaceidae.
GGAUGUGAGGGUCACCUGAUGGCAGCAUCUGUGGCUCUAUUCAGCACCAGGCUUGACCUGGCUGAUCUAGCUGGCGGGCUGGCCGGGUGUCCCCGUCCUCUCUCACUGCCCAUGAGUGCUCACUCCCCGAAGCUGUUGCAUGCUCAACAGAAGAGAAGGCCUGCAGGAACCUUCCCCAAAUAGUGCUGGAUGGCUCUUGGGUAAAGGACAUUUGAGCGGGUGCACUUUCCCACUGGAACCUCCACCCAGUUCUCCAUGAGAUCCCAUCACAACUCCAAUGGUAUUUUUUUUCAUAGUACAAAGCUAUAGGCACCACA